RNAcentral lists this ribosomal RNA (253 nucleotides) under uncultured bacterium. Its description in RNAcentral is "partial 16S ribosomal RNA". It matches the Rfam family "Bacterial small subunit ribosomal RNA", at positions 524 to 776 of the family's 1533-position model. The record is from RNAcentral.
UACGAAGGGGGCUAGCGUUGCUCGGAAUCACUGGGCGUAAAGGGCGCGUAGGCGGCCAUUCAAGUCGGGGGUGAAAGCCUGUGGCUCAACCACAGAAUUGCCUUCGAUACUGUUUGGCUUGAGUUUGGUAGAGGUUGGUGGAACUGCGAGUGUAGAGGUGAAAUUCGUAGAUAUUCGCAAGAACACCAGUGGCGAAGGCGGCCAACUGGACCAACGCUGACGCUGAGGCGCGAAAGCGUGGGGAGCAGACAGG